GCCGCUAUAGUAUAGGAGCAGUACCCCGGCUUGUGGCGCCGGUAGCCCCGGUGCGAUUCCGGGUGGCGGCA
This 71-nucleotide transfer RNA is filed under the name Minisyncoccota bacterium. RNAcentral's name for it is "tRNA-His". It matches the Rfam family "tRNA". Rfam says of the family: Transfer RNA (tRNA) molecules are approximately 80 nucleotides in length. Lineage: Bacteria; Bacillati; Minisyncoccota. The record is from RNAcentral.